UAAUUGUUGAUCAAAAGAGUAUCAUCUGUGUAAAUAAUUCCAAAAGAGGGGUCAAGAAAUGAAAGAAGUCGGUAGUAGUGAUGAGAGGUCUAAUCUCGAACAAACACGGAAAUCGGUAAGAGUGUAUCAGUCGAGUGGACGGCCCGGAACACGGGCUCAAACAUGCCGACGAAAGAAGUAGGAGGACUACUCUAUUUAAGGAGGCGUAUGUGUGGUUGUUUGCGUAAGUUACAGGGAGACAAGAUGGCUCUUGUUAUCAAGAGAUGUAUGACAC
Non-coding RNA from Caenorhabditis elegans, 274 nucleotides. The record is from Ensembl. Lineage: Eukaryota; Metazoa; Nematoda; Chromadorea; Rhabditida; Rhabditidae.